AGAGAUAUAGUUCAGUGGCAGAACUGCUGAUAACACGCAGUAACACUGGUUCGAUUCCAGUUAUCUCAA
This 69-nucleotide transfer RNA is filed under the name Apilactobacillus apisilvae. RNAcentral's name for it is "Apilactobacillus sp. SG5_A10 tRNA-Leu". It matches the Rfam family "tRNA". From Rfam's summary of the family: Transfer RNA (tRNA) molecules are approximately 80 nucleotides in length. Their secondary structure includes four short double-helical elements and three loops (D, anti-codon, and T loops). Further hydrogen bonds mediate the characteristic L-shaped molecular structure. tRNAs have two regions of fundamental functional importance: the anti-codon, which is responsible for specific mRNA codon recognition, and the 3' end, to which the tRNAs corresponding amino acid is attached (by aminoacyl-tRNA synthetases). tRNAs cope with the degeneracy of the genetic code in two manners: having more than one tRNA (with a specific anti-codon) for a particular amino acid; and 'wobble' base-pairing, i.e. permitting non-standard base-pairing at the 3rd anti-codon position. Lineage: Bacteria; Bacillati; Bacillota; Bacilli; Lactobacillales; Lactobacillaceae. The record is from RNAcentral.